RNAcentral lists this long non-coding RNA (5108 nucleotides) under Homo sapiens (human). Its description in RNAcentral is "HSALNT0355744". Lineage: Eukaryota; Metazoa; Chordata; Mammalia; Primates; Hominidae. The record is from RNAcentral.
UUGAUAAUUCCUAUGCAUUGCUAUCCAGUGCUUACACAUAGACGGUGCAUUCUCUGGAAUUCACCCUGGGUCAGAGCCUUCUCACCUCCCAGCACAAGCCAGUAGCUUAAGCCUCAGUGUCCCAGCUUCGGUGCACUGGGCAGGAGAUGGGUCUCCCAAGACCACUCAGCCAUGUGGUUCCUUCAGCUCUCAGCACAGCCGAGUCCAGGCUGCAGGCUCUCCAUCACAAGCCAACUACAGAGUGACACAUGUUCUCUACACAUGCCGUGACUGAAUAUGUUGUGUUCUGAAAAUAUUUGGGAGUUAAUUUGUGUUUUGUGCCUAGUGCUUCAUGGACCGGUGCUCAUUGCAUCCUUACAGCCAUCUACAAGGGUGUCACCAUUAUUUGUAUUUUAUUAGACUUAGAGAGGUGAAGUGACUUGCUCAAAAUAAUACGGUUAGCAAAUGACUGAACCCCGACCCAACAGGGAGAAUGUGGGAAGAAAUCAACAAAGCUUAUUUAACAGGUAUCUGCCAAGGGUUGGAAAAAAUAAGAUUUAUUGUUGCUCCACUGAGCAGAACACAGCCCAUCAGAGGUUACUGCACCUUCAACGACAUGUGCUUUUGACUGACCCAUCAAAACACUGGUGGCAAGAGCACUAAAUAAGUUGCCUAUCAUACUUAAUCUUUCCAGGAUUCAAAGAGGAGUGUAGAGUGAAAUGACCUAUAAGACCCCUGAGCCUAAAAUAUAAUCUAAUGGACUCAGCUUUAAAGCGCUCAUUGAGAGGAUGGCCAAAAACCAGCCGCCACAGUGCGAAGCACGAUUCCUCCACCAUCCGCAGUCCACUCGCACAAAUACCCUCAGUGAAACACUUCUUUCUCUCCACCCACUUUUGAGUAGGAUGAAAUGGCACAUUCCAUUUUCAAAGUGGGCAGCUUGCACGUAUCAGCAGUGCCAGGAAUUUGGAAAACGAUAACGUGGAACCCACAGUAACUUGCUGGCUGAAUUUACUCACCCAGGUGACCCAGGUCGAUGAGGGCUUCAGAGCCACGGGGAUUUUAAAUGCCGCUUCAAAGCCAACAAGGAGCAGAACCAGUGCUGAUUCGUGUUUAUGAUAAUGACAUUUGAAAGGCUAAAAAUUACAAAGUUGUUUACAGAGAUGGACUUAGAAAAUAAUUGUAUCUAAUGUCUCAUAAACAUAAAAGAAAGUUAUUUUGUAGUAGAUGAUUGAAAAGAAAAAAUCUCCUUUAAAAAGGAAAUAAAUAUACUAGUUUCAGACAGAAACAACUUCAAAGGCAAUCAGAAAAUUCAGUGGAAUUUUAAAGAGGGAAUCUCACUCAAAGAAUUCUCUAAAAUUGCCUAAACUUAAAAGCAUUAUUUUUCUCGAGACAUUUAAUUUAGAUUGCAUACCAAACCCUGUAAUAAACCUCCUGCAAAGAAAUAAUAAUAGACCAUAGGCAUUAUAUAUGUUCACUGUUCACUGCGUGUAAAUACAAUGAUUGACCUUCCAUCAACAGACAAGAGGCAUAACUCCAUGGCAACAGAGAAAUAGAGGUCACAAUCAUAUUUUCCAAGGCAAUUUUUGGCCCUCGGGGGAUUCACUGUUAUACUUGGAGGCCAUGUCACCUGAGAGUCAAUGGGCAACGAUCAAAUUUCACCUUGAGCAGAUUCUUUUGUUUGCUUUUUAGUCACAAAUAGCUUGGCCCUAAGUGGUGGCUCCCAUUCUUGUAAGAUGCGUUUAUUCAUCGUGUAAUCACCAGUUCCCUGUAGUGGGGGCGUGGAUGGAGUGUCAGAGGCUCCUGCUGGUCUUUAGGGUGUCUGGCCUCCAGGAAUCCUAGAGGUAGUAUUUGGAGAGAUUUUUAAAAGCUUUGUUUCUGUGACCAGCAAAACCUGGAUUUGACACUGAGGUCAGCCCGUUUCAGCCAGUGACGUAACCUGUCUUUUUGCCCCAGUAAAUUGGGAACUACAGCACUCGAUGUUAGAGUUGUCGUGAAGAUUAAAGAAGGUGACGACUGGACAACUCCCAGCCCAAUACCUGAAACUGUACCAGCACCCAGUGAGCACUGCUAUUCCUGUGACUGCUGCACAUUUGCCUUAUCUCAGCAGUAUGCCUGUGUCACUUUUUUGGCACUCUUUUCUCAUGGGUACAUUCAGAGAAGAGGAAUGUUUGUUCACUGGUGAAGAGAACAUCCCGUGUACUAUCGUGUAGAAGUUGUAGUAGACGCUGUGGUCUUUCCAACAACAAACAAACCUCGUGCCAGCAACUUAAAUCUAUCAGCAAUGGAGAAUGCCUGGCAUUGGCUUCUGCAUGAGUGCCGUUUUAGUUGCUUUGUAUUCUUCUACCUUGAUUUUUUUUUCUGUUUUUCUACAUGAGUGUUGCCUGCAGAGUUCCCUGAUUGACUCAAAGUACAUCUUCUAUAUUGCUUCAAGUAGUGCUGGUCAUGAACACAAUUCAGUCUUAGUCAGCUAUUGGAACUGAUUGACUGCAAAGUUCUGGUGCCUCUUCUCGCAGCCCAGGGCAGAUGGACGUGCUAUGUGGGGCCCGUACAAAACAGAAUCAUGGAGCUGGUGGGGCAAGGAGUCAACCUCCCUCCUAGGGCCUGCAGCCUCCACCAGGGCAGAGAGCAAGUUUCUCUCAGCUUCUGCUCUCAGGUGGUGACCUGGCAGGGAGGACAGCUUGGCAGUAGGUGCAGGCACUGGACGGGGACCUCCUGGCUCCUCUCCUAGCUCUUGCAGCACCAGCCAUAAGGCACUCAGAUCAUGCAACUUCCCGGUGUCUCCGUCUCUGCAUCUUUAAAAUGGGGCUAAUAAGAACACUUUUCUCAUAGACUUAUAAAGAGAAUUAAUUAAAAAAAAUAAUGCUUGGCUCAGAAUGUACACUCCAUGAACAUCACCUGUUACCACUUAAGAAGGGUGCGUACCCUCCAGCCGCAUCCAUGCCAGUUCCCGUUGUCUCACCCUGGGCCAGCGACACCCAUCUUAAGUCACAAUUGAGAAUACAAGCAAGACACGCUGAAAUCUACCAGAAUAAAGGUCCAUCUUCACAGAACAAGCCUGUUUACACUUGAACCCACAGUUUUUCAGUCAUAUCCAGACUUCAAGGAGGGAAGAGGGCUCCACCGCAGGCUUCCUGUAGCAAGCAUGGGGGCCAUAUCUGAGUCCCCUGUGGCGUUCUGUCACCAUAGACUGUGACUUUCAAACAGCACAGUCACUUCUCACAGUGUUAAAGGUCAGAAGUCCCAGAUCAAGGUUCUGGCAGAUCUGGUAUCUGGUGAGUAUCUGCUUCCUGGGUCAUAGAUGGCGGCUUCUCACUGUGUCCUCACAUGGUGGAAGGAGUGAGGAAGGAGUGAGGGAGCUCUCCAGGAUCUCUUUCAAAAGGGCUCGAAUCCCAUUCAUGGGGGGUCCACCUUUAUGAGUUCAUCAUAUCCUAAAGCCCCCACCUCCUAACACCAUCACCUUGGGGGUGAGAAUUUCAGCAUGUGAAUUAGGGGGAGACUCAAACAUUUACACCACAAACAGGCAAAGAGCCUGCAGCUGCUAGUGAGGCCACGGCAUCUCCCUCCUGACCAAUCUCCUCUUCUGCAAAUUGCAGCUGCUGGGACAGGACCCAGGAGGUUCCGGAGGAUCAGGAGGUCCACCUGGGAGAAGAGCUGAUCGGCUAGUAGGAGAGCUGGAAAAGCAACAGACACCUACUUAGUCCCUUCCCUGGGGCCCGGCUCCAGUCUGAGCUGUCACGCCACAGCAAAGGCAUCACUUCAGGACAGCAAAGCCCCUGUCUCCCUCCCUUCCAGCUCCUCAGACUUCACCCUGGUAACACGUUUGUUUAAAAAACAUAUUUUUCCCCCUUGUAAAGAAUCUAGGAUACAAGGGGUCAGCCCAGCAGUUUAGGUAUCAAGAAGAAACUGCUCUCGGAGCUAAAGUAAGAAACAGUGCCUGUCUAUAGCGCAAAUAAAGAGUUGGAACAAGAUAAAAGGCAGUGAUCCUUCACCAGCCAAUCUCCAGGUGGAUCUCAGGAAUCCUGUGUGAUGUGUGACAUCAUCUGGGAAAGCCCCGCAGUUGCCAUGGAGACGCACCUCCCAGGCCUCGGGAAGCUGCCCCACCUCUCUGCCACCUUCUUCCAGACUGGUCAUGGCAGGCUGGCUCUGAUCUGGGUCCCAGACAGAGGGGAAUUGGUUUGCCUUUUUUCUUUUCUUUUCUUCUUUUUUUUCUUUUCUUUUCUUUGUAAACUGCAAUGACCGUGUGUGUGUGUGUGUUUGUGUGUGUGUGUCUGUGUAUGCAUAUAUAUAAAGAAAGAGAGAGAAAAAAAAACAGAGUGCCCCACGACGCAAGGUGCCCACCUUGACAAAUACACUGUGGGCAGACAAUAAACCCUUAUGAGGUUCUGGAGUGGCAGCAGCAAUGGCCUCCUGCCCUCCUGGCGGGCUGGAGCCUCCUCCUGGCAGGUGGGGUAGGGUUGAAACAUCAGAAAUGCCGAGAAAUGUCUCGGUGCAGCCUGAUUACAGAGACACUUGUGAUCCAUGAUUUCUGCUGCUCCACUGCUGAAAAAAAGAAAAAGGCCUGGAGUGCCUCAUCCGCUGUGGUUUCUCUCCCAUUUAAGUAAAAUUGGAAACUUUUUUAAAAAGAAAGCACAAUCAUGUAAUUAGUGCAGGCUCUCUUUUCUGGUUUUUUGAAAAGAGGCAUUUUCACACACACCUUAGUCCAUCUUAAACCCUUUCAACGUUCUGCAUGCUCUUCCUAAUUCCAGAGAGACAGAAUUUUUAUUUCCUUCGAUCGCAGGGAUACCUACAAUGGAAUUUACGUCUCAAUUAACAGUUUGACCAAGGGUUUACAAGUGGUUGAAUGGAGUACAAAUGAAGAAUUCGAAGAAACGCAAAGAGAGAAAGUGGACCGCCCAUAGACACCUGCUCUAUGCAAACAAUGGACUCCUUCCCUUUAUCUUAAGGGGUCUUACGCUACCUGUUUCUACGUCCUUUGCUGGUUCCCAUGACAGAAAUACACACGUUUCAGACAAGAUUAAAAUACAAAAUCCCAACCAUAGCCUCAUCUUUGCACACACACUCUCUCAUUUCCUGUUGGUACCAGCACUUUUCUAUUUCGGUCCUGGGUAUGGCUCACUAACCUACAGCAG